UACACACCGCCCGUCACAUCACGAAAGUCGGUUGCACUAGAAGUCGGUGGGCUAACCCGCAAGGGAGGCAGUCGACCACGGUAGGGUCAGCGACUGGGUG
This 100-nucleotide ribosomal RNA is filed under the name uncultured bacterium. Its description in RNAcentral is "partial 16S ribosomal RNA". The record is from RNAcentral.